This 67-nucleotide transfer RNA is filed under the name Pyura mirabilis. Its description in RNAcentral is "tRNA-Phe". The record is from RNAcentral. Lineage: Eukaryota; Metazoa; Chordata; Ascidiacea; Stolidobranchia; Pyuridae.
UAUUGAGUAGUUUAAUUUUUAAAACCAAGUUUUGAAAAAGCUUUGAUAUUAUUUAUAAUCUUAAUAU